This is an RNA transcript of Lycium barbarum (goji berry), 1873 nucleotides long. RefSeq lists it as uncharacterized. The record is from RefSeq and is a predicted model, not a curated record. The transcript is spliced from 2 exons. Lineage: Eukaryota; Viridiplantae; Streptophyta; Magnoliopsida; Solanales; Solanaceae.
UAUUUUUCUGGUGUCCAAUCAUCUGGUUUCCUUCUUCGCGUUCAUGAGGAAGGGGCCGCGUUCGUGUGGCCCCCCUCGCUUUUUUAAAAAAGAAUGGGUCUGGGCCGCGUCAGACGCGAAGCCUUGUGUUCGCUACACUUGUCUCGCAUUUGCGAAAGCCAUUUUCGUUAGGCUGGGUCGUGUGUCAUUGCGAGGACGCGAUCGCCAGGACUCGAUCGCGUGGAGGCUCUGUGAUCACGAUGAAGGAAAUCACUGAAAAGUGAUUUAAGUUUGAUUUUUUGAAAAAGAAAUUCAUUUUUAAAUAUUUUAAGUUCAAGAGCUCGAUUUUGGUGAUUCCAAGCUCCAAACUCAAUAUUCUUCAUCGGGGUAAGAUUAUAACUCCCUUAUAGACUUAAUUACAUGAAUCCAUGAUUUUAGCUUUGGAGGACACUGAUUGGGGCGCACGUUAAGACAUUCUCUCUCUAGGUGCAGUUCACGCAAGGACUGCUAACCUACUCUUGACGGCAAAAAUGGCGAGAAAACGUGCUCCUCCGGUGAAACAAACCCAACCAUAACCUGUGGCCACUACUCUAAAUGCUAUAUUACUAGAUCCACCGGUCAUCACCACUCAUAUGGUGACCCCAAAAAUAGGGGUUCCUCAAACCCUAGCCCUAAUGUAAUUCACGCAAUGGUUACCGGGAACGAACGACGAGUCCAAAAUCCAACAAGCGCUGACGAAGAUUAUCAUGCAAAAAGUUCAAGGGCAGACAUCGAUGACAACCACCAACCCUACAUCUGUGGAGGACACUGUAGUAGGACAAGCAACAAGGAAACUUACUUACCCUCCGGGAAAUGCUGCUGGUGUUACAGAGGUAGCCAAGAGAAAUAAUAGAGCUCCAAAACGUGAGCUGAUAGAAGUUUUAUUCACCUACUGUUAAAGGUAUUUGAACACUUCUCUGAGCAGGAAAUCUAGAGAAAAGUUCUUUCUAUGUUGCUGGGGUGUCAAGUUCAUUUAGGGAUCAAAUACUACAAGAGCUGAGAUCCACUUUGGGGGAAAUACCAUUCAAGUGGAGAAGAUUGCUGCCAGGAUUGGGUGUUAGUCCUCCAAGUUACUCUCGUAUAGUGGAAGGUUGCAAUUAAUCAAAAGUGUGCUAUUUGAGAUGCAAACAUAUUGGGGGUAGGUAUUUCUAUUGCCGAAGAAGAUCAUAAGAAUGGUAACUACAGUCUGUAGAGUAUUCUUAUCGAUUGAGAAAUAUGUUAGCUCCACAAAAGCUUUAGUGGCAUGGGAUACAUUAUGUAUUCUAAAAGCACCUGGAGGCGUUAACAUUGUUGACUUUGAAAAGUGGAAUAAAGAUGCUAUUUGUAAGCUUUUGUGGGCAGUGUCACAUAAAAAGGGUACUCUAUGGGUACAACAGAUCCACGAUUUUUAUAUAAAAAACAAUGAGCGUUCAAGUCUAGAUACACCCAAACAGGCCUGUUGGCUUGUAAGGAAGAUAUUUGAGGCUAGAUCAUGGUUCCCACAAGUUGAUGCUAUAAGAUAUAAAUCAGUUCUCAACAGGGGGCAAGUUCAACAUUAAGAAGACUUAUAACUCAUCCCUGCCCCAGUAUCCAAGACCAAAAUGGAAACAAUUGUUACUAUCUUCAGGUGCUCUACCAAGGCACCAGUUCAUUAUGUGGCUAGCUGUGCAAAGCAGACUUGUAACAACGGAUAGGCUGGCUAAGUGGAACAUUCAAGUGGCUCUAGAUUGUGUGCUAUGUGCUUCAGGUACUGUGGAAAUAAUGCCCUAUUUGUGUUUUGACUGAAGGUAUUCCAAAUUCAUAUGGGACACUAUACUAGCAUGGCUGGGAAUUCACAAACAAAUUGGCACUUGGAACACAAAGAUCACUUGGCUUU